GGACAGUCAGGCAGUGACUGUUGAGGGUACAGGAGCCUGAGUUCAGCCCUGGGGUCAGAGAGGCCAGGAUUCAGGACCCUGCCACUUAGUCCUUCCAGUCACCUGCGGAAUAGGGUGGUCCCCAAAGUGCAAAAACAGCAAAGUUGCAGAGCCCAGGUUGGAGAGAGAGGAGAAGAGCCACCCCAGGCAGGCGUUGGGGCUGGGAAGCAGGGAGCCCAGCAGGUCUCCUGGGAGGGCCUGGGCCAGCCUGUGGGCUCUGGGACAGGCUUUUCAGGGCUGUGGUUUUACAUGUGUGAGCUGCAGCAGCAGAAGCCCAUUCUCCACACAACGGUGGACUCAGAACGCCCAUGUGCAAGGCUGGCUAUGGACGUGGAGUGGGGUCCUCAGAAGCCCCGAGCUUCCUCUGAAGAGCCUCUUAGAUCCAGGCUUUGGGGCACACACUUGGAGAAUCUCUGCUUUAGCAGGAGGUGAGACACAGGCUGCCCCCAGAGGCCUGGGACUGAGAUGACAGCUCCUGGGGGUCAUUCCUGGGAUCUGAGCCUUCCUUCUCCUUUGCUCUCCCUUGGCGUUUGGAGAUGCCUUUGUGCACACUCCAGCUUGCCUUAUCUGACCUUUGCAGGGUUCUAAGGAAGGAAUGAACCUUGUUGGACUCCAGGGGGUCAAGGGGAAUCCUGGAUGUUAGCAUGAGAGCCCCAGAUGAGCCUGAGCUUCUGUUCAGUCCUGCCACCCAUCCUGCCUGGAGAGCCUGGGUCCAGGAAAGAGACCUCUGGAGGUCCUUGCUUUUGCAAAGGAAGCAGUUUUUCACACAGCUUCUGUGGCCAACUACUAGCGUCCAGUGUUGUUUCAGUUGAGAUUCCUGAUGAGCCCAGUUUUAUCUUUUUGCACCCUCCUUCAAUUUCCUUGUGUGUAAAAUGGGAUGACCAUCUCCUCGGUAAGAUGUCAGGUGGUGAGCACAGUGCCUGCAUGUGGUAAGUGCUAAAGAAAAGUAAUUAGAAUCAGUAAAACUGAAGAACUCUUUAGAAAAAGCAGUCACCUGUGCUGGCUGAGCUUGUGUAAAAGAAAGAUUUACUGACUCAGUUUUAAUUUCUGUGAAUACACCUUUGUGUAGUGAGGAGCAAACCAAGAGGACUGAGCCUUGGGCCUGCCAGCAACUCACCUGAUGCCUUUCUCUGGGCCUCAGUUUUUCUCUCUCUGAAGUGGAUGUGUGUCAUAUGACCCAGAGAUUUCUAAUCUAUCUUCUCCAGCUAGAUUCUUGCAUUAGGGGUGAACUUGUUCAUUGGGUAGAGUUGCUUCCCCUGGUUUGGAGAGGCAGCAUUUGCAGCCCCAGAGGCUAUCAGGGAUAAGGGUGUUGGGCCAAGAAUAGCUGGGCCAGGAGCAAUAAACUGUUAAGGGCUUGAUGAGUCUGAGCAACUGACCAAUAACAUCCAAUGCCCCUGGAACCUGGCAACUCCAACUUUAGGUGGCAGAGGAUUAAACACAUUUUGCCUCAAGGUGAGUCUGUACAGGUCCCCAGUGGUCUCUGGGCCUGCCUUCCAGCUCUGUGAGGAACAGGAGCUGAGCAAGUGCCUACAGUCACCACGCUGCCUACAGUGUCCAGGGGAUUCUAGCCUGGAUAGGAAAACUGGCUUGGCUGAGUGGACUGUCCCAGGGUGAGGAUCUGGGAAUGAGCAUAUGGGGAUGGCAGACUACCACACGCCCUGGAAGCUGGAGAGGAAGGAGGCACCCAGGACAGAAGGUGAGGUUGCCCCAGGUCAACAACUUCCAGAUGAGAUCCACCUUGAGUCAUGAUCCUCAGAUGCCAAGCCACAGGAACCUCAUCACCCACCUCAUCAUCCAAACUGGAACUUGAUGGAAAUCAUUCCACAACUAUGUGUUGGUGGGUUGUCUUCUUAAUACUUGGAAGGAGGUCUUAAUACUUAUCCCACUGAAAUCAUGCUACCUACACCUAGCAAAACAUACAUCAAAGAAAAACUUCUAACUGGGUAUAUCACAUGCCCACUGUACUAACACACUGGAGAACCCCCAACAACAGGAGGCCCGGGGAGAGUCCCUGACCCACAGGGACUUCAGGUCAAGACCACACCCACCAUCCUUUCAAGGUGGAGACAGUCCCCGUAGGAACCAAACUGAUGUAUAAUAAAACUCAUCAUUUAUUUCUCUUCUCCCUACAGCAUUUCAGCCAGUGAAUGGUAGAAUUUUGCAGGAAUAAGAAUUAGAGGUGUAGAGGGUUUUGAGAUGCGGGGUGGGUCAGGUUUCACUACUCAAGGACCCUAAGACAGGUUUUUGGAAGAAGUGUGUGUGUGUGUGUGUGUGUGUGUGUGUGUGUGUGUAGGACCACAUUCAGCCACUCCCAUGGGCAAGUAUGACAUAUGACCACUCCUCUCUUCUUGCCCCCUGGCCUCCUUAACCUAGAAGUCACCUUGCUGGCUCAUGGGAUUCCUUGAUACUUCUGCAAUCCAGCUUCUCCGCUCCAACAGGCUGUCCCUGCCCAGCUGAGCUGGCCCACCCAGGGUUCCCUCACAGUGCUAUGGGCCUCCACUGGCCCCCUCUGCACAGCCCAUCCUCUCCAAUCUUUCUUUCCAAAGUGAAAUCUACCAAUGCUUACUCUUUGGCUCUGGCCACAUGAGAGACAGACAGACAUACAGACACACACUUCUUUCUUUUUGCCUUGGCUCACCACUAUUCAAUGCCUGGAAGCCUUAUUUUCUCCCUUGGGAACCUCCACUCAGUCUUUACAACUGUCAUCUCCUCCAGGAAGUCAUCCCUGCUCUUCUUCC
Molecule: long non-coding RNA, 2777 nt
Filed under: Homo sapiens (human)
Lineage: Eukaryota; Metazoa; Chordata; Mammalia; Primates; Hominidae
Description: HSALNT0165690
Source: RNAcentral